Molecule: microRNA precursor, 103 nt
Filed under: Marmota monax (woodchuck)
Lineage: Eukaryota; Metazoa; Chordata; Mammalia; Rodentia; Sciuridae
Source: RNAcentral
AGUGGAAUAGCUGGGUCGAAUGGUUGUUCCAUUCCAAGUUUUUAAAGGAAUCUCCAUGUUACUUUCUAGAUUGGUUGCACCAAUUUGCAGUCCCACCAGCAAU